RNAcentral lists this transfer RNA (67 nucleotides) under Pellona flavipinnis (yellowfin river pellona). RNAcentral describes it as "tRNA-Cys". It matches the Rfam family "tRNA". Rfam says of the family: Transfer RNA (tRNA) molecules are approximately 80 nucleotides in length. The record is from RNAcentral. Lineage: Eukaryota; Metazoa; Chordata; Actinopteri; Clupeiformes; Pristigasteridae.
AGCUCUGUAGUGAAGUUCAUAUUAGAUUGCAAAUCUGAAGACGUAGGUUGAACACCUGCCGGGGCUU